RNAcentral lists this ribosomal RNA (77 nucleotides) under Limosilactobacillus reuteri. RNAcentral's name for it is "Lactobacillus reuteri partial 16S ribosomal RNA". The stretch from base 1 to 66 matches the Rfam family "Bacterial small subunit ribosomal RNA", at positions 1468 to 1533 of the family's 1533-position model. RNAcentral also lists the same sequence under 1 other name. The record is from RNAcentral. Lineage: Bacteria; Bacillati; Bacillota; Bacilli; Lactobacillales; Lactobacillaceae.
CAGAUGACUGGGGUGAAGUCGUAACAAGGUAGCCGUAGGAGAACCUGCGGCUGGAUCACCUCCUUUCUAAGGAAUAA